RNAcentral lists this ribosomal RNA (497 nucleotides) under uncultured bacterium. RNAcentral describes it as "partial 16S ribosomal RNA". It matches the Rfam family "Bacterial small subunit ribosomal RNA", at positions 28 to 507 of the family's 1533-position model. The record is from RNAcentral.
GAUGAACGCUGGCGGCGUGCCUAAUACAUGCAAGUCGAGCGAACAGACGAGGAGCUUGCUCCUCUGACGUUAGCGGCGGACGGGUGAGUAACACGUGGAUAACCUACCUAUAAGACUGGGAUAACUUCGGGAAACCGGAGCUAAUACCGGAUAAUAUAUUGAACCGCAUGGUUCAAUAGUGAAAGACGGUUUUGCUGUCACUUAUAGAUGGAUCCGCGCCGCAUUAGCUAGUUGGUAAGGUAACGGCUUACCAAGGCGACGAUGCGUAGCCGACCUGAGAGGGUGAUCGGCCACACUGGAACUGAGACACGGUCCAGACUCCUACGGGAGGCAGCAGUAGGGAAUCUUCCGCAAUGGGCGAAAGCCUGACGGAGCAACGCCGCGUGAGUGAUGAAGGUCCUCGGAUCGUAAAACUCUGUUAUUAGGGAAGAACAAAUGUGUAAGUAACUAUGCACGUCUUGACGGUACCUAAUCAGAAAGCCACGGCUAGCUACGUG